UGGCACAGUAACUUGCUGGAAAGUCAACAUUUUACACAGAAUUACUUGAAAGAUAAAUGACUCAAAAAAGAAGAGAAGAGGAUGAAGAUGAGGAUGACGAUAAGGAGAAGAAGGAGGAUAAUAUCUUGUCAUUGUGAAUAACGAGUAUUCUGAAGUACACGGAGCCCCAAAGGUCUCUGGUUACAGUCUGCUAUUUCACCCACAUCUGUGAGAUCUUUUACUGCAGCAGUAGUCUGUCUGUGAAAUCCCUGCAUGGACAUGCGCUGGAGAGCUCCCACCUUUGGUCUGCACCCCAGAGUGUGAAACUAACCAGGAUGCACAACCAAGAGAAACCACAGCAGCAGACCCGAAGCCAUCAAUAAGAGAGCAGAGAAAUGAAACACUUGUUUUGGAAAGACCACUGAGAAGCUGGGGUUGCUUGCCAUGAGCAUCACUUAUCAGAGAUGCUCCAGUGCAUCUUAAGAAAUAAAGC
RNAcentral lists this long non-coding RNA (472 nucleotides) under Mus spicilegus (steppe mouse). RNAcentral's name for it is "lncRNA (ENSMSIG00000020050.1)". Lineage: Eukaryota; Metazoa; Chordata; Mammalia; Rodentia; Muridae. The record is from RNAcentral.